This 356-nucleotide ribosomal RNA is filed under the name Clostridioides difficile. RNAcentral's name for it is "bacterial SSU rRNA". It matches the Rfam family "Bacterial small subunit ribosomal RNA", at positions 167 to 541 of the family's 1533-position model. The record is from RNAcentral. Lineage: Bacteria; Bacillati; Bacillota; Clostridia; Peptostreptococcales; Peptostreptococcaceae.
UACGGGAUAAUAUAUUUGAGAGGCAUCUCUUGAAUAUCAAAGGUGAGCCAGUACAGGAUGGACCCGCGUCUGAUUAGCUAGUUGGUAAGGUAACGGCUUACCAAGGCGACGAUCAGUAGCCGACCUGAGAGGGGGAUCGGCCACAUUGGAACUGAGACACGGUCCAAACUCCUACGGGAGGCAGCAGUGGGGAAUAUUGCACAAUGGGCGAAAGCCUGAUGCAGCAACGCCGCGUGAGUGAUGAAGGCCUUCGGGUCGUAAAACUCUGUCCUCAAGGAAGAUAAUGACGGUACUUGAGGAGGAAGCCCCGGCUAACUACGUGCCAGCAGCCGCGGUAAUACGUAGGGGGCUAGCGU